UUGGAGUGGAACUGACCUGCCCCCUUUCUCUCUGUCUCCAUGGCAGCUGGGUGGGCUAUGAACAGGCCAACUGCAAGGGCGAGCAGUUUGUGUUUGAGAAGGGCGAGUACCCUGGCUGGGACCGUGGACCAGCAGCCAGAGGACGGACUCCCUCAGCUCCCUGAGGCCCAUCAAAGUGGACAGCCAAAAGCACAAGAUCAUCCUCUAUGAAAACCCCAACUUCACCGGGAAGAAGAUGGAAAUCAUAGAUGACGACGUACCCAGCUUCCACGCCCACGGCUACCAGGAGAAGGUGUCAUCUGUGCGGGUGCAGAGUGGCACGUGUGGGUUGGCUACCAGUACCCUGGCUACCGCGGACUGCAGUACCUGCUGGAGAAGGAGACUACAAGGACAGCAGCGACUUCAGGGCGUGUCACUCCCAGGUACAGUCCAUGUGCCACAUCCGCGAUAUGCAGUGGUACCAAUGUUGGCGCCUUCCACUCCUCCAACUAGUGCCCUCCCCACCAUGCCUCCUUCCCAGGACCCAGGCCUGCUGCCCAGGAACCCUCCAGACCUCGCAGAGAGUGAGUAAAGUAUGACUUGCAACUUGUCUGCUGUGGGUCUUUGAUCUCCCCUGGCAGCUGGGGUGUGUGUAUAUGCGUGCGCACGCGCGUGUGUGUAUGUGAUAGAAAUAAGAAUUGCCAAGUAUCUGGGCUAGGAAUAGGGCAACAGAACCCUUAGGGAGUCUUAUGGUUCUCUGCAGCUGCUUAGCUCUUAACUGUGUGAG
Molecule: long non-coding RNA, 766 nt
Filed under: Theropithecus gelada (gelada)
Lineage: Eukaryota; Metazoa; Chordata; Mammalia; Primates; Cercopithecidae
Description: lncRNA (ENSTGEG00000027408.1)
Source: RNAcentral